AUACGGAGGGUGCGAGCGUUAAUCGGAAUUACUGGGCGUAAAGCGUGCGUAGGUGGUUUAUUAAGUUAUCUGUGAAAUCCCUGGGCUCAGCCUGGGCAGGUCAGAUAAGACUGAUAGACUGGAGUAUGGGAGAGGGUAGUGGAAUUUCCGGUGUAGCGGUGAAAUGCGUAGAGAUCGGAAGGAACACCAGUGGCGAAGGCGGCUACCUGGCCUAAUACUGACACUGAGGCACGAAAGCGUGGGGAGC
This 247-nucleotide ribosomal RNA is filed under the name uncultured bacterium. Its description in RNAcentral is "partial 16S ribosomal RNA". It matches the Rfam family "Bacterial small subunit ribosomal RNA", at positions 523 to 769 of the family's 1533-position model. The record is from RNAcentral.